GACGAACGCUGGCGGCGUGCUUAACACAUGCAAGUCGAACGGUAAGGCUCCAGCUUGCUGGGGUACACGAGUGGCGAACGGGUGAGUAACACGUGGGUGACCUGCCCUGCACUUCGGGAUAAGCCUGGGAAACUGGGUCUAAUACCGGAUAGGACCAUGGUGUGGAUACUGUGGUGGAAAGUUUUUUCGGUGUGGGUUGGGCACGCGGCCUAUCAGCUUGUUGGUGGGGUAAUGGCCUACCAAGGCGGCGACGGGUAGCCGGCCUGAGAGGGUGGACGGCCACAUUGGGACUGAGACACGGCCCAGACUCCUACGGGAGGCAGCAGUGGGGAAUAUUGCACAAUGGGCGGAAGCCUGAUGCAGCGACGCCGCGUGGGGGAUGACGGCCUUCGGGUUGUAAACUCCUUUCACCAUCGACGAAGGGUUUCUGACGGUAGAUGGAGAAGAAGCACCGGCUAACUACGUG
This 466-nucleotide ribosomal RNA is filed under the name uncultured bacterium. RNAcentral describes it as "partial 16S ribosomal RNA". It matches the Rfam family "Bacterial small subunit ribosomal RNA", at positions 28 to 507 of the family's 1533-position model. The record is from RNAcentral.